Molecule: ribosomal RNA, 253 nt
Filed under: uncultured bacterium
Lineage: Bacteria
Description: partial 16S ribosomal RNA
Rfam family: Bacterial small subunit ribosomal RNA
Source: RNAcentral
UACGGAGGGGGUUAGCGUUGUUCGGAAUUACUGGGCGUAAAGCGCACGUAGGCGGAUUGGAAAGUAUGGGGUGAAAUCCCAGGGCUCAACCCUGGAACUGCCUUGUAAACUCCCAGUCUAGAGUUCGAGAGAGGUGAGUGGAAUUCCAAGUGUAGAGGUGAAAUUCGUAGAUAUUUGGAGGAACACCAGUGGCGAAGGCGGCUCACUGGCUCGAUACUGACGCUGAGGUGCGAAAGUGUGGGGAGCAAACAGG